AUAAGUUUAACGGCCGCGGUACCUUAACCGUGCAAAGGUAGCACAAUCAAUCGUCCCUUAAAUAGGGACUAGUAUGAAUGGCUUCACGAGGGCUUAACUGUCUCCCCUCUUCAAUCAAUGAAACUGAUCUUCUCGUGAAGAAGCGAGAAUGUUAAUAUAAGACGAGAAGACCCUAUGGAGCUUUAAACCCAUUACCACCUGCCCGUAUUAUACCAAAAUAAUUGGCAGCCUGUUCUUAUAAUGGUUUUUGGCUGGGGUGGCCCUGGAGUAAAAUAAACCCUCCAGACUGAAUGAUUUAAGACCCUAAUCUAAGAAUUACAAUUCAAAGAAUCAAUACUUUGACAUAAUUGACCCAAUAAAUUGAUCAACGAACCAAGUUACCCUAGGGAUAACAGCGCAAUCCAUUUCAAGAGCCCCUAUCGACAAAUGGGUUUACGACCUCGAUGUUGGAUCGGGGUAUCCUAGCGGCGCAGCCGCUGCUAAAGGUUCGUUUGUUCAACGAUUAAUAACCCCACGUGAUCUGAUUCCAAAACCGGACCGCCUGUUUACCAAAAACAUAUAUGUGAUCUGAGUUCAAACGGGGUCGCCUGUAUACCAAAAAUUUAUU
RNAcentral lists this ribosomal RNA (607 nucleotides) under Kassina senegalensis (Senegal running frog). Its description in RNAcentral is "partial large subunit ribosomal RNA". It matches the Rfam family "Bacterial large subunit ribosomal RNA", at positions 1918 to 2635 of the family's 2925-position model. Lineage: Eukaryota; Metazoa; Chordata; Amphibia; Anura; Hyperoliidae. The record is from RNAcentral.